RNAcentral lists this ribosomal RNA (253 nucleotides) under uncultured bacterium. RNAcentral describes it as "partial 16S ribosomal RNA". It matches the Rfam family "Bacterial small subunit ribosomal RNA", at positions 524 to 776 of the family's 1533-position model. The record is from RNAcentral.
UACAGAGGGUGCAAGCGUUGCUCGGAAUUAUUGGGCGUAAAGGGCAGGUAGGUGGUCUCAUUUGUCCGGGGUGAAAGCCUUAAGCUUAACUUAAGAAGUGCCCUGGAAACGGUGAGACUAGAGUGCUGGAGAGGGUCGCGGAAUACCCGGUGUAGCGGUGAAAUGCGUAGAGAUCGGGUGGAACACCAGAGGCGAAGGCGGCGACCUGGACAGUGACUGACACUCAACUGCGAAAGCGUGGGGAGCAAACAGG